AUUCUUUAAAGGUUUUACCUUUUUCCCCUAUUCUUAUGCUAUUAUUUAUUCAUAUACACCAUAAAUUAGACAAAUAUAAUAGAAUAUUUUAAAAAACUAUAUAUAAAUUAUAUAUACAAAGAAGCUCAUCCGACAACACAAGGCGCUGAAUGUUGAAAGACGAACACUCAAAAAAGAUGUGAUGUAGUGUUUGAACCUUUUGCAAUUGACAAUAAUCACAAUAUGCUGAGCUGACCAUUUUGAGACGAUGAAGAACCAAGGUACGGUAUUAACUUGA
This is a long non-coding RNA of Helicoverpa zea (corn earworm), 277 nucleotides long. RefSeq lists it as uncharacterized. NCBI's taxonomy places the organism in Eukaryota, Metazoa, Arthropoda, Insecta, Lepidoptera, Noctuidae. The transcript has 3 exons. The record is from RefSeq and is a predicted model, not a curated record.